AAAUUGAAGAGUUUGAUCAUGGCUCAGAUUGAACGCUGGCGGCAGGCCUAACACAUGCAAGUCGAACGGUAGCACAGAGAGCUUGCUCUCGGGUGACGAGUGGCGGACGGGUGAGUAAUGUCUGGGAAACUGCCCGAUGGAGGGGGAUAACUACUGGAAACGGUAGCUAAUACCGCAUAACGUCGCAAGACCAAAGUGGGGGACCUUCGGGCCUCACACCAUCGGAUGUGCCCAGAUGGGAUUAGCUAGUAGGUGGGGUAACGGCUCACCUAGGCGACGAUCCCUAGCUGGUCUGAGAGGAUGACCAGCCACACUGGAACUGAGACACGGUCCAGACUCCUACGGGAGGCAGCAGUGGGGAAUAUUGCACAAUGGGCGCAAGCCUGAUGCAGCCAUGCCGCGUGUAUGAAGAAGGCCUUCGGGUUGUAAAGUACUUUCAGCGAGGAGGAAGGCGUUGUGGUU
RNAcentral lists this ribosomal RNA (462 nucleotides) under Salmonella enterica subsp. enterica serovar Kentucky. Its description in RNAcentral is "bacterial SSU rRNA". It matches the Rfam family "Bacterial small subunit ribosomal RNA", at positions 1 to 461 of the family's 1533-position model. The record is from RNAcentral. Lineage: Bacteria; Pseudomonadati; Pseudomonadota; Gammaproteobacteria; Enterobacterales; Enterobacteriaceae.